RNAcentral lists this ribosomal RNA (410 nucleotides) under uncultured Glomus. RNAcentral describes it as "SSU rRNA". It matches the Rfam family "Eukaryotic small subunit ribosomal RNA", at positions 569 to 983 of the family's 1831-position model. Lineage: Eukaryota; Fungi; Glomeromycota; Glomeromycetes; Glomerales; Glomeraceae. The record is from RNAcentral.
AGCAGCCGCGGUAAUUCCAGCUCCAAUAGCGUAUAUUAAAGUUGUUGCAGUUAAAAAGCUCGUAGUUGAAUUUCGGGGUUAGUAGGUUGGUCAUGCCUCUGGUAUGUACUGGUCUCACUGAUUCCUCCUUCCUGAUGAGCCGUAAUGCCAUUAAUUUGGUGUUGCGGGGAAUUUGGACUGUUACUUUGAAAAAAUUAGAGUGUUUAAAGCAAGCUAACGCUUGAAUACAUUAGCAUGGAAUAAUGAAAUAGGACGUUCGAUCCUAUUUUGUUGGUUUCUAGGAUUGACGUAAUGAUUAAUAGGGAUAGUUGGGGGCAUUAGUAUUCAAUUGUCAGAGGUGAAAUUCUUGGAUUUAUUGAAGACUAACUACUGCGAAAGCAUUUGCCAAGGAUGUUUUCAUUAAUCAAGAA